RNAcentral lists this ribosomal RNA (1409 nucleotides) under metagenome. RNAcentral describes it as "bacterial LSU rRNA". It matches the Rfam family "Bacterial large subunit ribosomal RNA", at positions 1488 to 2925 of the family's 2925-position model. The record is from RNAcentral.
CUACCUGGAAUGGAAUCCAGGGGCAAGCACAGGAGGGGUACGGCUGGAAGAACCGCCGUGCAACCCAAAGGUGUGACGCAUACCGAACUAAAGUAGGGAAAUGUGUGAGCCGGCUGCCGAGAAAAGCCGCUAUUGUUUGUACUGUACCCGUACCGUAAACCGACACAGGUGGAUGAGGAGAGAAUCCUAAGGCCGACGGAAGAAGCAUUGCUAAGGAACUCGGCAAAAUGACCCUGUAACUUCGGGAGAAAGGGUGCCUCGAAAGAGGCCGCAGAGAAUAGGCCCAAGCAACUGUUUAGCAAAAACACAGGUCUAUGCAAAACCGCAAGGUGAAGUAUAUGGGCUGACGCCUGCCCGGUGCUGGAAGGUUAAGGGGAGAUGUCAGGAGACGAAGCAUCGAACUUAAGCCCCAGUAAACGGCGGCCGUAACGAUAACGGUCCUAAGGUAGCGAAAUGCCUUGUCGGGUAAGUUCCGACCCGCACGAAAGGCGUAAUGAUUUGGGCGCUGUCUCGGCAAUGCAUCCGGUGAAAUUGAAGUGCCAGUGAAGAUGCUGGCUACCCGCGCCAGGACGGAAAGACCCCAUGGAGCUUUACUCCAGCUUGAUACUGGGAUUCGGUAUUGUAUGUACAGGAUAGGUGGGAGGCCGAGAAAUGGUGACGCCAGUCGCCAUGGAGCCGCUGCUGGGAUACCACCCUUGCAGUACUGGAUUUCUAACCAGCAGCCGUGAUCCGGCUGGGGGACAAUGUCAGGUGGGGAGUUUGACUGGGGCGGUCGCCUCCGAAAGGGUAUCGGAGGCGCUCAAAGGUUCCCUCAGAAUGGUCGGAAACCAUUCGAAGAGUGCAAAGGCAGAAGGGAGCUUGACUGCGACACCGACGGGUGGGGCAGGUACGAAAGUAGGACUUAGUGAUCCGGUGGUAUUAAGUGGGAAUGCCAUCGCUCAACGGAUAAAAGCUACCCUGGGAUAACAGGCUUAUCACUCCCAAGAGUUCACAUCGACGGAGUGGUUUGGCACCUCGAUGUCGGCUCAUCGCAUCCUGGGGCUGUAGUAGGUCCCAAGGGUUGGGCUGUUCGCCCAUUAAAGCGGUACGCGAGCUGGGUUCAGAACGUCGUGAGACAGUUCGGUCCCUAUCCGGCGUGGGCGUAGGAUAUUUGAGAGGAGCUGACCUUAGUACGAGAGGACCGGGUUGGACUGACCUCUGGUGCACCGGUUGUCAUGCCAAUGGCACAGCCGGGUAGCCAAGUCGGGAAGGGAUAAACGCUGAAGGCAUCUAAGCGUGAAGCCCCCCUCAAGAUGAGGUAUCCCCCGCAUAAGCGGUAAGACCCCUUGAAGACGACGAGGUAGAUAGGGCAGAGGUGGAAGUGCAGUAAUGUAUGGAGCUGACUGCUACUAAUAGGUCGAAGGCUUAGC